Molecule: transfer-messenger RNA, 211 nt
Filed under: Campylobacter sp.
Lineage: Bacteria; Pseudomonadati; Campylobacterota; Epsilonproteobacteria; Campylobacterales; Campylobacteraceae
Description: partial transfer-messenger RNA
Rfam family: transfer-messenger RNA
About the family: Bacterial tmRNA, also known as 10Sa RNA or SsrA, is named for its dual tRNA and mRNA-like properties. Its role is to liberate the mRNA from a stalled ribosome.
Source: RNAcentral
UUUGGUGAUACUAUCUAUCCAGAUUGGCGAGCAACCCUUUAGAUAGUGUAGCUUUGCUGUUUGACGAGCAGUGAAGUGAAAUUUAGUCUUAGCUUGGCUAAUUGUUUUGGGAAGUGAGCAAGGCUAGGUGAAUUUUUCACUUCUACUAAGCGUGUAGAGGCUGUGAUGUGGCUGUUUUUGGACUGCGGUUCGAUCCCGCACACCUCCACCA